This 626-nucleotide ribosomal RNA is filed under the name Pseudomonas sp. 26.9. RNAcentral's name for it is "bacterial SSU rRNA". It matches the Rfam family "Bacterial small subunit ribosomal RNA", at positions 54 to 673 of the family's 1533-position model. Lineage: Bacteria; Pseudomonadati; Pseudomonadota; Gammaproteobacteria; Pseudomonadales; Pseudomonadaceae. The record is from RNAcentral.
AUUGCAGUUCGAGCGGAUGAAGAGGAAGCUUGCUCUUCGAUUUAGCGGCGGACGGGUGAGUAAUGCCUAGGAAUCUGCCUGGUAGUGGGGGACAACGUUUCGAAAGGAACGCUAAUACCGCAUACGUCCUACGGGAGAAAGCAGGGGACCUUCGGGCCUUGCGCUAUCAGAUGAGCCUAGGUCGGAUUAGCUAGUUGGUGGGGUAAUGGCUCACCAAGGCGACGAUCCGUAACUGGUCUGAGAGGAUGAUCAGUCACACUGGAACUGAGACACGGUCCAGACUCAUACGGGAGGCAGCAGUGGGGAAUAUUGGACAAUGGGCGAAAGCCUGAUCCAGCCAUGCCGCGUGUGUGAAGAAGGUCUUCGGAUUGUAAAGCACUUUAAGUUGGGAGGAAGGGCAUUAACCUAAUACGUUAGUGUUUUGACGUUACCGACAGAAUAAGCACCGGCUAACUCUGUGCCAGCAGCCGCGGUAAUACAGAGGGUGCAAGCGUUAAUCGGAAUUACUGGGCGUAAAGCGCGCGUAGGUGGUUUGUUAAGUUGGAUGUGAAAGCCCCGGGCUCAACCUGGGAACUGCAUCCAAAACUGGCAAGCUAGAGUACGGUAGAGGGUGGUGGAAUUUCCUG